GACCUCAAGUUAUGUGAGAGUACCCGCUGAACUUAAGCAUAUCAAUAAGCGGAGGAAAAGAAACUAACAAGGAUUCCCCUAGUAACGGCGAGUGAAGCGGGAAGAGCACAAAUUUUAAAUCUACCUGGUUUUCAGGUCGAGUUGUAAUUUGAAGAAACGUUAUUGAUGUUCUGGGUUGGGAUAAAUCCUUUGGGAUGAGGUAUCAUGGAGGGUGAGAAUCCCGUAUAUACUAACCACAGGAAUAUUAUUUAAUACGUUUUCUAAGAGUCGAGUUGUUUGGGAAUGCAGCUCUAAAUGGGUGGUAAAUUUCACCUAAUGCUAAAUAUAAGCGAGAGACCGAUAGCGAACAAGUACCGUGAGGGAAAGAUGAAAAGAACUUUGAAAAGAGAGUUAAAUAGUACGUGAAAUUGUCGAAAGGGAAACGAUUAAAGUCAGUCAUGCCGGCGGGAAUCAACUUAGGGGAAACUUUAAGUGCACUUCACGUUUGGCAAGUUAGUGUCGAUUUUGGAUGUCAUAAAAUGAUUGGGGGAAGGUAGCUCUUUCGAGAGUGUUAUAUCCCUUAGUAGAUGUGAUGUCUGGGAUCGAGGAUUGCAACGGAUACCCUUUGGGCUAGCCACCUGAUCUCUAACUGAUGUUGGGUUACGGACAGCAUGCUGACCGUGAUUUAAUUAUUGGUUAAAAGGUUAGAGUGAGUGUAAAUUCGUUAAGGACGCUGACGUAAUGGCUUUAAACGACCCGUCUUGAAACACGGACCAAGGAGUCUAACAUGUAUGCGAGUGUUAGGGUAUUAAACCCAGACGCGAAAUGAAAGUGAGUGUAGGUGGGAUCCUUUAUUGGAGCACCAUCGACCGAUCUUGAGAUUUAUCGAUAGAAUUGAGUUAGAGC
This 885-nucleotide ribosomal RNA is filed under the name Dentiscutata savannicola. Its description in RNAcentral is "eukaryotic LSU rRNA". It matches the Rfam family "Eukaryotic large subunit ribosomal RNA", at positions 1 to 801 of the family's 3401-position model. Lineage: Eukaryota; Fungi; Glomeromycota; Glomeromycetes; Diversisporales; Gigasporaceae. The record is from RNAcentral.